Molecule: ribosomal RNA, 1125 nt
Filed under: Holomitriopsis laevifolia
Lineage: Eukaryota; Viridiplantae; Streptophyta; Bryopsida; Dicranales; Dicranaceae
Description: eukaryotic LSU rRNA
Rfam family: Eukaryotic large subunit ribosomal RNA
Source: RNAcentral
UAAGCGGAGGAGAAGAAACUAACCAGGAUUUCCCUAGUAACGGCGAGCGAACCGGAAAGAGCCCAGCUUGAAAAUCGCGGCGCUGCGCGCCGCGAGUUGUAGUCUGGAGAAGCAUCCUCUGCAGCGCACCGGACCCAAGUUCCCUGGAAAGGGACGUCAGAGAGGGUGACAACCCCGUCGAGUCCGGACCCCGUGCUGCUCCACGAGGUGCUGUCGUCGAGUCGAGCUGUUUGGGAAUGCAGCUCUAAGUGGGUGGUAAAUUCCAUCCAAGGCUAAAUAUUGGCAGGAGACCGAUAGCGAACAAGUACCGCGAGGGAAAGAUGAAAAGGACUUUGAAAAGAGAGUUAAAGAGUGCUUGAAAUUGCUGGGAGGGAAGCGAAUGGAAGCUGCGGGUGYGGCCCGGUUGGAUGUGGAACGGCCCUUGGGGGCUGGUCCGCCGCUCAACGCGGGGCACUGGUCAGCGUGGGCCAUCGCGGCGGGACAAGAGCGGGGUGUAGUUCCCCGCCUAUGCCGUUGUGGUGGCCGAUGAACGAAGCGUGCGCCCCCCCUUCUUCUGGGGGCGGKGGCGUGGACCCUGUGUCCAACUGCACGCUCGGGACGCUGGCGUAUUGAGCUCUUCAUCCGACCCGUCUUGAAACACGGACCAAGGAGUCUAACAUGUAUGCGAGCCGGUGGGCGGCAAACCCAUUGAGGCGCAAGUAAACUGACAGGUGGGACCCCCCUAACGAGGGAGCACCAUCGACCGACCGUGAUCUUCUGUGAAAGGUUUGAGUGUGAGCAUACCUGUUGGGACCCGAAAGAUGGUGAACUAUGCCUGARCAGGGCGAAGCCAGAGGAAACUCUGGUGGAGGCUCGUAUCGAUACUGACGUGCAAAUCGUUCGUCAGACUUGGGUAUAGGGGCGAAAGACUAAUCGAACCAUCUAGUAGCUGGUUCCCUCCGAAGUUUCCCUCAGGAUAGCUGGAGCUCGUGUGACUCAGUUUUAUCAGGUAAAGCGAAUGAUUAGAGGCAUCGGGGGUGUAACACCCUCGACCUAUUCUCAAACUUUAAAUAGGUAAGCCGCCGGGGUUGCUUGGUUGAACCCCGGCACAGAAUGAGAGCUCCAAGUGGGCCAUUUUUGGUAACA